Molecule: ribosomal RNA, 493 nt
Filed under: uncultured bacterium
Lineage: Bacteria
Description: partial 16S ribosomal RNA
Rfam family: Bacterial small subunit ribosomal RNA
Source: RNAcentral
ACGAACGCUGGCGGCGUGCUUAACACAUGCCAGUCGAACGGAAAGGCCUGCUUUCCCUUGUGGAUUGCGGGUACUCGAGUGGCGAACGGGUGAGUAACACGUGAGUGAUCUGCCCCCAACUUGGGUAUAAGCCUGGGAAACUGGGUCUAAUUCCCGAUAGGACUGCAGGGUGGUGCCUGUGGUGGAAAACGAUUUUCUAGUGGUUGGGGAUGAGCUCGCGGCCUAUCAGCUUGUUGGUGGGGUAAUGGCCUACCAAGGCGGCGACGGGUAGCCGGCCGGAGAGGGUGGACGGCCCCAUUGGGACUGGGAUACGGCCCCGACUCCUACGGGAGGCAGGAGUGGGGAAUAAUGCCCCGUGGGCGGAAGCCUGAUGCAGCGACGCCGCGUGGGGGAUGACGGCCUUCGGGUUGUAAACUCCUUUCGACCGCGAGGAAGCCACCUGGUUGGAAGGGUGGUGACGGUAGUGGUAGAAGAAGCACCGGCUAACUACGUG